CAAUGUUUUAAACGACGGAGGGCAAAUAAGAGAGAAUUUGGAUUUGAACCAACGUGAUUCUGAAGUGACUGUGAAUAACAACCACUGAUUCAAAUAUAUGUGGAACAUAUUAAUAUGUUAACUAUGCAGUUUAAGAAAGAAGAGGUUAAUCUGGGCUGGGAUUUUAAAAGAUGGCCUCAUAGAAGAGGUGAGAUUUGGAUGAAAAGUCAGAUAUGGACAGAAGCUGCUACAUGACUGCCUCAUCCCAGAGAAGCCUGAUUAUCAUCGGUGAAAAACAUUCCGCCAUAAACAUGAUUACAAAAUUCAUUAUAAGCAGUGAUUGAAUGUGAACAUAUCUAAAACAGUUUAGUUCAUAGUGAAUUGCAUA
Long non-coding RNA from Suricata suricatta (meerkat), 367 nucleotides. RefSeq lists it as uncharacterized. The record is from RefSeq and is a predicted model, not a curated record. The transcript is spliced from 4 exons. Lineage: Eukaryota; Metazoa; Chordata; Mammalia; Carnivora; Herpestidae.